This 204-nucleotide ribosomal RNA is filed under the name Triticum aestivum (bread wheat). Its description in RNAcentral is "partial small subunit ribosomal RNA". Lineage: Eukaryota; Viridiplantae; Streptophyta; Magnoliopsida; Poales; Poaceae. The record is from RNAcentral.
GCCCUCAGACUUCAGUGGUUAUGGUUUGAGUGGAAAGAUAAGAGCAAGCCAUGGAUUGGUAUGGGAGUGCCGUGCACGGAUGAUGACCGUCAUUUCUUUGCGGCGGCCACUACAGUCACUGUUGGAAAUGGAAGGACAGCAAGGUUCUGGAAUUCAUCUUGGCUAGGAGGAUUGUGCCCUUGUGACAUUGCUCCUGGUCUCUAC